This 983-nucleotide ribosomal RNA is filed under the name Bacillus sp. MBIA2.42. RNAcentral describes it as "bacterial SSU rRNA". It matches the Rfam family "Bacterial small subunit ribosomal RNA", at positions 43 to 1024 of the family's 1533-position model. Lineage: Bacteria; Bacillati; Bacillota; Bacilli; Caryophanales; Bacillaceae. The record is from RNAcentral.
UGCGCAKCUAUACAUGCAAGUCGAGCGGACAGAUGGGAGCUUGCUCCCUGAUGUUAGCGGCGGACGGGUGAGUAACACGUGGGUAACCUGCCUGUAAGACUGGGAUAACUCCGGGAAACCGGGGCUAAUACCGGAUGSUUGUUUGAACCGCAUGGUUCAGACAUAAAAGGUGGCUUCGGCUACCACUUACAGAUGGACCCGCGGCGCAUUAGCUAGUUGGUGAGGUAACGGCUCACCAAGGCRACGAUGCGUAGCCGACCUGAGAGGGUGAUCGGCCACACUGGGACUGAGACACGGCCCAGACUCCUACGGGAGGCAGCAGUAGGGAAUCUUCCGCAAUGGACGAAAGUCUGACGGAGCAACGCCGCGUGAGUGAUGAAGGUUUUCGGAUCGUAAAGCUCUGUUGUUAGGGAAGAACAAGUGCCGUUCAAAUAGGGCGGCACCUUGACGGUACCUAACCAGAAAGCCACGGCUAACUACGUGCCAGCAGCCGCGGUAAUACGUAGGUGGCAAGCGUUGUCCGGAAUUAUUGGGCGUAAAGGGCUCGCAGGCGGUUUCUUAAGUCUGAUGUGAAAGCCCCCGGCUCAACCGGGGAGGGUCAUUGGAAACUGGGGAACUUGAGUGCAGAAGAGGAGAGUGGAAUUCCACGUGUAGCGGUGAAAUGCGUAGAGAUGUGGAGGAACACCAGUGGCGAAAGCGACUCUCUGGUCUGUAACUGACGCUGAGGAGCGAAAGCGUGGGGAGCGAACAGGAUUAGAUACCCUGGUAGUCCACGCCGUAAACGAUGAGUGCUAGUGUUAGGGGUUUCCGCCCCUUAGUGCUGCAGCUAACGCAUUAAGCACUCCGCUGGGGAGUACGGUCGCAGACUGAACUCAAAGGAAUGACGGGGCCCGCACAGCGUGAGCAUGUGUUAUCGAAGCACGCGARGACCUUACAGGUCUGGMMUCUCKGACAUCCUARARAUAGGACGUCCCCCUUCAAGA